RNAcentral lists this transfer RNA (83 nucleotides) under Sarcina sp. DSM 11001. It matches the Rfam family "tRNA". Rfam says of the family: Transfer RNA (tRNA) molecules are approximately 80 nucleotides in length. The record is from Rfam by way of RNAcentral. RNAcentral also lists the same sequence under 3 other names. Lineage: Bacteria; Bacillati; Bacillota; Clostridia; Eubacteriales; Clostridiaceae.
GCAGGAGUGGCGGAAUGGCAGACGCGCAGGCUUCAGGUGCCUGUUAUGGCAACAUAGUGUGGGUUCAAGUCCCAUCUCCUGCA